RNAcentral lists this ribosomal RNA (829 nucleotides) under Natrialba hulunbeirensis. RNAcentral describes it as "bacterial SSU rRNA". It matches the Rfam family "Archaeal small subunit ribosomal RNA", at positions 47 to 876 of the family's 1478-position model. The record is from RNAcentral. Lineage: Archaea; Methanobacteriati; Methanobacteriota; Halobacteria; Halobacteriales; Natrialbaceae.
AGCCAUGACUAGUUGUACGAGUUGAGACUCGUAGCAGAUAGCUCAGUAACACGUGGCCUAACUACCCUAUGGAUCCAGACAACCUCGGGAAACUGAGGCUAAUCUGGAAUAGGGCUCUCAUCCUGGAGUGGAGAGAGCCUGAAAUGCUCCGGCGCCAUAGGAUGUGGCUGCGGCCGAUUAGGUAGACGGUGGGGUAACGGCCCACCGUGCCAGUAAUCGGUACGGGUUGUGAGAGCAAGAGCCCGGAGACGGUAUCUGAGACAAGAUACCGGGCCCUACGGGGCGCAGCAGGCGCGAAACCUUUACACUGCACGCCAGUGCGAUAAGGGGACUCCAAGUGCGAGGGCAUAUAGUCCUCGCUUUUUGCGACCGUAAGGUGGUCGCGGAAUAAGUGCUGGGCAAGACCGGUGCCAGCCGCCGCGGUAAUACCGGCAGCACGAGUGAUGACCGCUGUUAUUGGGCCUAAAGCGUCCGUAGCUGGCCGCGCAAGUCUAUCGGGAAAUCUCUCCGCUUAACGGAGAGGCGUCCGGUGGAAACUGUGUGGCUUGGGACCGGAAGACCAGAGGGGUACGUCUGGGGUAGGAGUGAAAUCCCGUAAUCCUGGACGGACCACCGGUGGCGAAAGCGCCUCUGGAAGACGGAUCCGACGGUGAGGGACGAAAGCUCGGGUCACGAACCGGAUUAGAUACCCGGGUAGUCCGAGCUGUAAACGAUGUCUGCUAGGUGUGACACAGGCUACGAGCCUGUGUUGUGCCGUAGGGAAGCCGUGAAGCAGACCGCCUGGGAAGUACGUCCGCAAGGAUGAAACUUAAAGGAAUUGGCGGGGGAG